Molecule: long non-coding RNA, 251 nt
Filed under: Paramuricea clavata
Lineage: Eukaryota; Metazoa; Cnidaria; Anthozoa; Malacalcyonacea; Plexauridae
Source: RNAcentral
CUAAAAUCCAUUGGAUCCAUCGGAUCCAUUUUUUUUUUAAUAACAAGGUUCCUGGCGGUGUGGACAAGGUUCCUGCCGGUGAGGACAAGGUUCCUGCCGGUGAGGACAAGGUUUCUGCCGGUGAGGACAAGGUUCCUGGUGGUGAGGACAAGGUUCCUUCCUGUGAGGACAAGGUUCCUGCCGGUGAGGACAAGGUUCCUGCCGGUGAGGACAAGGUUCCUGGCGGUGAGGACAAGGUUCCUGGCGGUGAG